Molecule: ribosomal RNA, 421 nt
Filed under: uncultured bacterium
Lineage: Bacteria
Description: partial 16S ribosomal RNA
Rfam family: Bacterial small subunit ribosomal RNA
Source: RNAcentral
AAUAUUGGACAAUGGGGGCAACCCUGAUCCAGCCAUGCCGCGUGUGUGAAGAAGGUCUUCAGAUUGUAAAGCACUUUAAGUUGGGAGGAAGGGCAGUAAGUUAAUACCUUGCUGUUUUGACGUUACCGACAGAAUAAGCACCGGCUAACUUCGUGCCAGCAGCCGCGGUAAUACGAAGGGUGCAAGCGUUAAUCGGAAUUACUGGGCGUAAAGCGCGCGUAGGUGGUUCAGUAAGAUGGGUGUGAAAUCCCCGGGCUUAACCUGGGAACUGCUUUCAUAACUGGCAAGCUAGAGUAUGGCAGAGGGUGGUGGAAUUUCCUGUGUAGCGGUGAAAUGCGUAGAUAUGUGGAGGAAUACCGAUGGCGAAGGCAGCCCUCUGGGAUAAUACUGACACUCAGACACGAAAGCGUGUGGAGCAAAC